CGGGCGCCAGUCGGCGGCCACCGCGCCCGCGCCCCGCAGCGAGGUGUGGCUGAAGGGGGCCGAGAAGACCGAGGCGUUCGACUCGCCGGCGCUCGC
RNAcentral lists this transfer RNA (96 nucleotides) under Streptomyces melanogenes. RNAcentral's name for it is "tRNA-Cys". The record is from RNAcentral. Lineage: Bacteria; Bacillati; Actinomycetota; Actinomycetes; Kitasatosporales; Streptomycetaceae.